Molecule: long non-coding RNA, 1950 nt
Organism: Acinonyx jubatus (cheetah)
Lineage: Eukaryota; Metazoa; Chordata; Mammalia; Carnivora; Felidae
Exons: 3
Source: RefSeq, a predicted model, not a curated record
UUUGUUUCGAUAGCAUUAAUUUCUGCUGUAAUCCUUAUUAUUUCCUCUCUUCUGCUGAUUUGGGGUUUUAUUUGCUGUUCUUUUUCCAGCUCCUUAAGGCAUAAGGUUAAGUUGUGUAUCUGAGGUCUCUCUUCCUUCUUUAGGAAGGCCUGGAUUGCUAUCUAUUUUCCUCUUAUAGCCACCUUUGCUGCGUCCCAGAGGUUUUGGGUUGUGGUGUUAUCCCUUUCAUUGACUUCCAUAUAGUUUUCAAUUUCCUCUUUCACUGCUUGGUUGGCCCAUUCAUUCUUUAGUAGGAUGUUCUUCAGUCUCCAAGUAUGUGUUACCUUUCCCAAUUGUUUCCUGUGGUUGAUUUCGAGUUUCAUAGUGUUGUGGUCUGAAAAUAUGCACGGUAUGAUCUCGAUCUUUUUGUACUCACUUAGGGCUGAUUUAUGUCCCAGUAUAUGGUCUAUUCUGGAGAACGUUCCGUGUGCACUGGAGAAGGAUGUAUAUUCUGCUGGUUUAGGAUGAAAUGUUCUGAAUAUAUCUGUUAAGUCCAUCUGGUCCAGUGUGUCAUUCAAAGCCAUUGUUUCCUUGUUGAUUGUUUUGAUUAGAUGAUCUGUCCAUUGCUGUGAGUGGGGUGUUGAAGUCUCCUACUAUUAUGGUAUUACUAUCGAUGAGUUUCUUUAUGCUUGUGAUUAAUGGAUUUACAUAUUUGGGUGCUGUCACAUUUGGCGCAUAAAUGUUUACAAUUGUUAGGUCUUCUUGGUGGAUAGACCCCUUGAUUAUGCCAUAAUGCCCUUCUGCAUCUCUUGAUACAGUCUUUAUUUUAAAGUCUAGAUUGUCUGAUAUAAGUAUGGCUACUCUAGCUUUCUUUUGUUGACCAUUAGCAUGAUAGAUGGUUCUCCAUCCCCUUAUUUUCAGGCUGAAGGUGUCUAUAGACACUUCUAACUGGGUCUCCUGUAAACAGCAUAUAGAUGGACCUUGUUUUCUUAUCCAUUCUGUUACCCUAUGCCUUUUGAUUGGAGCAUUGAGUCCAUUGACGUUUAGAGUGAGUACUGAAAGAUAUGAAUUUAUUGCCAUUAUGAUGCUUGUAGACGUGGAGUUUCUGGUGGUGUUCUCUGGUCCUUUCUAAUCUUUGUUGCUUUUGGUAUAUAUAUAUGUAUAUUUAUAUAUAUAUAUAUAUAUAUAUAUAUACAUAUACACACACACACAUAUAUAUGUAUACACACAUAUAUACACAUAUAUAUGUAUAUGUAUAUAUGUGUGUAUAUGUAUAUAUAUGUAUGUAUGUAUGUAUAUGUAAUUUUUUUCAUCUUUUCUUGCCUCAGAAAGUCCCCCUUAAAAAUUCUUGCAGGGCUGGUUUAGUGGUCACAAAUUCCUUUAAUUUUUGUUUGUCUGGGAAACUUUUUCUCUCUCCUAUUUUGAGUGACAGCCUUGCUGGAUAAAGAAUUCUUGGCUGCAUUUAUUUUUUAUUUUAAUUGUUUAAUGUUUAUUUAUUUUUGACAGAGAGAGAGAGAGAGACAGAGACAGAGCAUGAGCAGAGGAGCGGCAGAGAGAGAGGGAGACACAGAAUCCGAAGCAGGCUCCAGGCUCUGAGCUGUCAGCACAGAGCCCGACGAGGGUCUCAAACUCACAGACCGCGAGAUCAUGACCAGAGCCGAAAUCGGACGCCCAACUGACUUAGCCACCCAGGCUCCCCCACAUAUUUUUCUGAUUCAGCACACUGAAUAUAUCCCGCCACUGCUUUCUGGCCUGCCAAGUUUUUGUGGGUGACAUUACAAGAUGAGGACACAGUCCACCCUGAACAAUCAUAAACUAUAAACUGAAAAAUCAAACAGGCAUUUCCAAACAUUUCUGAACAGGACCUUCCUUGAUAUGCAGAUGACUGACUCUUAAAUACAUAUAAAAUGAAGAAAGUGGAACUGUCAUACUGGUAUGUGGAAAUUCUACUGGCAAAAAAUUGAGUGAUAA